GACGAACGCUGGCGGCGUGCCUAACACAUGCAAGUCGAACGAGAUCUUCGGAUCUAGUGGCGCACGGGUGCGUAACGCGUGGGAAUCUGCCCUUGGGUUCGGAAUAACAGUGAGAAAUUACUGCUAAUACCGGAUGAUGCCUUCGGACCAAAGAUUUAUUGCCCAGGGAUGAGCCCGCGUAGGAUUAGCUAGUUGGUGGGGUAAUGGCCUACCAAGGCGACGAUCCUUAGCUGGUCUGAGAGGAUGAUCAGCCACACUGGGACUGAGACACGGCCCAUACUCCUACGGGAGGCAGCAGUGGGGAAUAUUGGACAAUGGGCGAAAGCCUGAUCCAGCAAUGCCGCGUGAGUGAUGAAGGCCUUAGGGUUGUAAAGCUCUUUUACCAGGGAUGAUAAUGACAGUACCUGGAGAAUAAGCUCCGGCUAACUCCGUGCCAGCCGCCGCUGUAA
RNAcentral lists this ribosomal RNA (449 nucleotides) under uncultured bacterium. RNAcentral describes it as "partial 16S ribosomal RNA". It matches the Rfam family "Bacterial small subunit ribosomal RNA", at positions 28 to 523 of the family's 1533-position model. The record is from RNAcentral.